Molecule: ribosomal RNA, 330 nt
Filed under: Photobacterium rosenbergii
Lineage: Bacteria; Pseudomonadati; Pseudomonadota; Gammaproteobacteria; Vibrionales; Vibrionaceae
Description: bacterial SSU rRNA
Rfam family: Bacterial small subunit ribosomal RNA
Source: RNAcentral
UCCUUGUUUGCCAGCCCGUAAUGGUGGGAACUCCAGGGAGACUGCCGGUGAUAAACCGGAGGAAGGUGGGGACGACGUCAAGUCAUCAUGGCCCUUACGAGUAGGGCUACACACGUGCUACAAUGGCGUAUACAGAGGGCUGCCAACUCGCGAGAGUGAGCGAAUCCCAGAAAGUACGUCGUAGUCCGGAUUGGAGUCUGCAACUCGACUCCAUGAAGUCGGAAUCGCUAGUAAUCGUGGAUCAGAAUGCCACGGUGAAUACGUUCCCGGGCCUUGUACACACCGCCCGUCACACCAUGGGAGUGGGCUGCACCAGAAGUAGAUAGCUUA